CUAAAGUUUCCCAUCAUUUUCCAUCUUCUUCACUAGCCACCAUUUCUCAAAAAGGAGAAGAUCUUGCAAAUAUCAAAGGGAAGCAAAGAGGUUUCAAGAAUAAUUAAAGCCAGUCAAACUUUUGACUGUUGAUUUUUGUGUAAUCAAGAGUUUAGAGAAGAAGUUGCAGGUACAAGUUCUUGAUGUGCAUGGAAAUCAUAAGCAUCCGGAUGGGAGUUUUAGUACACGAGUACUUUCUUAUUUAAGUUAUCUUGAAUUUUAUAUUUGACUUUACUUGACCAAUGGGGUCAAGGUUUGACUUUUGAAGAUGAGACUAGUAUGGGAUAGUCUCGGAGUUUGUAAUUCAUUUACAUACUUUCUUAUUUCCGUUGUAUUAAAGUAUUUUCAGUUUAUUUUAAAAA
Molecule: long non-coding RNA, 401 nt
Organism: Beta vulgaris subsp. vulgaris (sugar beet)
Lineage: Eukaryota; Viridiplantae; Streptophyta; Magnoliopsida; Caryophyllales; Amaranthaceae
Exons: 4
Source: RefSeq, a predicted model, not a curated record